This is a long non-coding RNA of Papaver somniferum (opium poppy), 2338 nucleotides long. RefSeq lists it as uncharacterized. NCBI's taxonomy places the organism in Eukaryota, Viridiplantae, Streptophyta, Magnoliopsida, Ranunculales, Papaveraceae. The record is from RefSeq and is a predicted model, not a curated record. The transcript has 7 exons.
GGGUGUUGAUGAAAGUGAAAUCCGUGAUGAGCUUAAGAAGAUGAUGAAGAUUGAUUUGUGGUCUUGGCUUGAGGUUGUGAAGGGGAUACUUUGAUUCAGCUGAACUGGUGUGCUGGUGGUGUUGAUCGGGAGGUGUUGUAUCUAGAGAUGGCAGGUUUGGUGAACAGAUGUUGGAAGUGGAGUUGAACUGUGGAUGUGGUUGAUAUGGGAUGCAGUUGAGUUGUAGUUGAAGAUUAUGAAUGAGCUGUUGGGGUUCAUGUUACAGCUUUGCGAAGUAAGAAUUGCAAAGUAAGAAUAUCUGUUGCAAAGUAAGAAAAUUCAUCGUCUUUGGAACAUCUGAAUUUCAUAUUUCAUACAUCGAAUGGCUUGGCUUCAAUGACGAGGGGAUGAAGAUGGCAGCCAACAACAACAAAUCUGGGUUCUGAAUCGAAAUUGGGGAUUUCUGGAGCUGAUAAACAUCAAAAGAUCUGGUUCUUCUUCGUUAUGAACUAUUACUACUGAAUUCUUUAUGCAACCUAUACGAACCCUAGAUAGUAACUCGAACUUCUUAAUCGAAAGUAUUGAAUUCAAAUUCGAGCGCCAUGACCUGAUUCUCUCUUAUUCUAAUCAGGGGUUCCUCCUGUUCACGGUGUUCGAUUUAGGCAAGAUAAUUGCAACGACUAAUGCUGUUUGAACCAAUCUCCGUGCAUAAUUUUACGAGGAACAUUGAUGGGGUUAAUAGAUUUCCUAUAAGAAAUUCUAUUGAAGCAAAUCUAUUCUAGGUUUGAAAAAGAGACAGGAGAACACGAGGAAUAGUGUUAUGCAGCUUAUAUCCUUCGGAACUAGCAUAUUUGUCUCUCCUGUGGAUUUCUGAGAGUUGCUGCUGUGACGAGUUUUGCAGGUGUUGGAUGAUCUCAUAGGAGGAAGAAGAUUCGUGAUAAAUCAAAACAAAUUGGCAGAGAAAAAUCCAGCCUCUUAAGAGAUUGUCGUAUCUGCUUAAUGUAAUUGUUGUUGUUGUUGAGGGUUUCAAUGGGGCUCAUCUUCGAAAUAUCUGCACUUAAGCUGGGAUGUUUGCAAUCUCUGUCUUUUGAUUUCGAGACAAAAAGGGUUUCGAACUAUCAACACUGCCAGCACUAUAUCCUGUCUCGAGUAGGGCAGCAGGUGAAUCAUUGUUGCUUACUGUUAAACAUGCAAAAACUCAUAAUUGUAUUGCUAACUGUUAAGCUGUCAUAGAUAAUUACGCAGACGAUGAUUUGCAUAAGAGAUGGGUAUAUGUUGAAAAUAAAUCCUUUUUUUCCCUUCUUUUCUUUUGAUUUUUAUACAUUAGUUUUAUCUUUUUGCUGAAGUCAUAUUUAGUCGAGUAUUUAAAUCAUUUUACAUGUAGCUUUUGACAGCUGUAGGUAGAAAAUCUUCACCAUCGAUUAGUAAUUAUAAUUGGCCGAAGUAUAAUAUUUAACAGAAUCAUACAAAUUGAUGCUUCAUCGUGUUCACGACCAGCAACACUGGUUCACCUGUGUCUAAUUAAUGCUUCACACAAAUUGAUGCUACCGGUGAUGCUGUGAUGAUGGUGAAUGCAGUUUUGGAGCUCGAAAGAAAGGUGGGGUUCUUAGCUGUGGUUGGCCGCAGCGGACUAAGAUGAAGAUAUUCUGAGGUCGUAAGAAAACGGAGAUGGAAAAGGAAGAUGAGAGUAACGAAUCAGUGGUGCUGCUGCCAUUUAUUCUCGAUACUCGAGUUUGAGUUCACAGGGAAGUUGAAAUGACAAGAUUGCGUUUGCUGUGGUAAUGAAAGAUUAAGCUGUGCUGACUAUGAAACUCUAUGCCAAUGGCAGUGAUGAGACUGAACGGCAGAUUGAUGGCUGCAACGAUGAAGCUAAAAAUAGGUAUCCAUUGGCCUGUUGAGUUUCUGCUGCUCAAGUCGUAUACAUAGAGAAGUUUGAAUAGGAAAGUGAUCAGUCAAGAGAACCAGCAAGCUGGAGAUUGAUGAAAAUAGCAGCUCGAGAAGGAAACAGAAGUUGUAUAAUCUGUUGCCGAUGAUGACUAUGAAAGCCUGAGAAUGUGACAAGGUUACACUGUCAGUUCCAGAUGACUAACGAUCAACUUACAAAGUGGGCUGGAUCUUGACAGUUGAAUGCGAGCCCAAUAGGCUAUUAGCCAUUAUAUUUUACACAAACAGAAUUUAUUUUAUUGAGCCGACUCCAUGAUUUUAUAACCAAAUGGACAUCAGGUGGUUUUCCAACGGAAGUUAUGGAUAUAAAAUGUAACAAAGCUCAAGGAUUUUCUGUUUUUGUGGUCAUUGUAUUUGUGUGUUAUUUGACCAAGUAGGUGUUACCAGCCAAUACUCAAAUCUAAUCAGUUCUCUA